AGUGAACGCUGGCGGUAGGCCUAACACAUGCAAGUCGAACGGCAGCACAGAGGAGCUUGCUCCUUGGGUGGCGAGUGGCGGACGGGUGAGGAAUACCUCGGAAUCUACUCUGUCGUGGGGGAUAACGUAGGGAAACUUACGCUAAUACCGCAUACGACCUACGGGUGAAAGCAGGGGAUCUUCGGACCAUGCGCGACUGAAUGAGCCGAUGUCGGAUUAGCUAGUUGGCGGGGGAAAGGCCCACCAAGAGGACGAUCCGUAGCUGGUCUGUGAGGAUUAUCAGCAACACUGCAACUAAGACAGGGUACCGAUUCCUACAGGAGGCAGCCGUGGGGAAUAUUGGGCUAAGGGCGCAAGCCUGAUCAAGCGCUGCAGCGUGGGUAAAGGAGGCCUUCGGGGUGUAAAGCGUUUUUGGUGGGAAAGAAAUGCAGCGAGCUAAAGCCUGGUUGUGAUGACGGUACACAAGGAAUAAGCACUGGCUAACUGCGUGCCAGCCACCGCCGUAA
RNAcentral lists this ribosomal RNA (506 nucleotides) under uncultured bacterium. Its description in RNAcentral is "partial 16S ribosomal RNA". It matches the Rfam family "Bacterial small subunit ribosomal RNA", at positions 29 to 523 of the family's 1533-position model. The record is from RNAcentral.